UUCUUUGUUAUGUAGUAUAAAACCCAACAUGAAGUCGUCUUCAGGACCGACAGCUGUUCAUAAUGCUAAGAUUUAGGGCUUUGACUGAGAUCGGGGCUGGGCCGUGGUUUGGGCUGGAUUUAAACUCAGGCAUGUCAUUUUACCUUAAAACGCUGAAAUGUGUCUCCAAAAUAAAUUCUGCUUUGAGAGCAACUUCCCUCCAAUAAAAACUUCUACUCUAUAACUGAAGCUUCAGCAAGAAACAAGUGUGUUGUAGGUGCAGUUUAUGAUCUCCUGUAUUAAAAGGUUUCACAGCUUGUUUGUGCUGGAUGUGACCAUAACGGUGAGAAGCUCCAGGAAGGAGGUCGCCGUCAUCCUGCUGUAAAACCACCGAUGUGAUGGUGACAGAGAGGAGCCCCACGUCAGCUCUGAGGCAUGUGCACGUUAACAUCUUUCCACAACAGACACAGCCAACACGCCCACUAAGACUAACACAGCAGACAUGCACGUGGUCCAAGUCAAAGCUUGAAUCCUACACAUGCAGAUGAACACACUGCGAGUGAGCUCGACUGUGAUGCAGCCAACGUGCACUUGGUAUGAGGCGGCACAUACUGGCAACACCGAGAGUCGCUCUGACUGCGCUUUCUCUGACUCAGAGUUUCCACUGAAACACAACAAGCUUCAGGAGAGAGUCGGAGGGAUUUUCUCACCUUGGCCCUGCAGACACAUGUGUGAGCAUCACUGAGAGCGAAGAAGAACACGAUCACACACAAACAGCUUUACACAUUCACAUCUGGAAUCACAUCUGUGAGCAGCCACGGUUCUCAUUAGCAGCAGGCUCGCCACCAAGCAGCCUGCGCCUCCUCUGGCUUGUCCGUCUCAGACAGUGAUUGACUGACACUGGAAGA
Long non-coding RNA from Monopterus albus (swamp eel), 887 nucleotides. RefSeq lists it as uncharacterized. The record is from RefSeq and is a predicted model, not a curated record. NCBI's taxonomy places the organism in Eukaryota, Metazoa, Chordata, Actinopteri, Synbranchiformes, Synbranchidae. The transcript is spliced from 3 exons.